UACGAAGGGGGCUAGCGUUGCUCGGAAUCACUGGGCGUAAAGCGCACGUAGGCGGAUUGCUAAGUCAGGGGUGAAAUCCUGGAGCUCAACUCCAGAACUGCCUUUGAUACUGGCAACCUUGAGUCCGGGAGAGGUGAGUGGAACUGCGAGUGUAGAGGUGAAAUUCGUAGAUAUUCGCAAGAACACCAGUGGCGAAGGCGGCUCACUGGCCCGGUACUGACGCUGAGGUGCGAAAGCGUGGGGAGCAAACAGG
Molecule: ribosomal RNA, 253 nt
Filed under: uncultured bacterium
Lineage: Bacteria
Description: partial 16S ribosomal RNA
Rfam family: Bacterial small subunit ribosomal RNA
Source: RNAcentral